This 76-nucleotide transfer RNA is filed under the name Pseudomonas putida. Its description in RNAcentral is "tRNA-Ala". It matches the Rfam family "tRNA". From Rfam's summary of the family: Transfer RNA (tRNA) molecules are approximately 80 nucleotides in length. Their secondary structure includes four short double-helical elements and three loops (D, anti-codon, and T loops). The record is from RNAcentral. Lineage: Bacteria; Pseudomonadati; Pseudomonadota; Gammaproteobacteria; Pseudomonadales; Pseudomonadaceae.
GGGGUUAUAGCUCAGUUGGAAGAGCGCCUGCCUUGCAAGCAGGAGGUCAGCGGUUCGAUCCCGCUUGGCUCCACCA